GAUCGGUGCUCGCGUCACUUGGGCGGCCGAGAUCGGCGCGGAUGGGGCUGGGCGGUGAGUCGGGAGCUGUGGGGUCAGGCACUGGGUUGGGGAGAGGCUGUGGGACAGAGCCGCGGCUUUAACAGGGCUGGGAAAGCGGAGAACGACUGGGGAGCUACAGCGAUAGCGGAAUGGCGCUGAGGCGGUGUUCGUGCGUCUGGGAACACGGGCCGUGGAGCUGCGGGCACCGGAGGCAUCCGAAGGGAAGUUACACUCUGGCAGUGCUGUCUCCAAAGGCUCCUGAAUGGCUCCGGUUAAAAUCAGCCACUCUGCCUGCAUGGAGCUGUUGACAACACAGAACCAGAACCAGGCCCUGAGGCCCAGAGCUGGCACGAGCACCCUGGGGCAUCACCUGGAGCUGCUGGCCAAGGAUGUGGGAGGUCCUGCAGUGCCAGGUGAGUGAAUCUGCACAGCUGUGUCCUGGGCUGGCUCCCAGCCACUGUGGGCAGCAGGGCAGGGGGGAAUUCUGUCCCUCUCCUCUGCUCAGGUGAGAGCCCACCUGCAGAGCUGCUCCAGCUCUGGGACCCCCAGCAUCAGAAGAGUGUGGAGCAACUGGAAUGAGUGCAGAGGAAGCUGUGGAGAUCCUCUUGAGGGCUGGAGCCCCUCUACUGUGGAGACGGGCUGGGACAUCCAGGGCUGUUCAGCCUGGAGAUGAGAAGGUUCUGAGAAC
Molecule: long non-coding RNA, 709 nt
Filed under: Junco hyemalis (dark-eyed junco)
Lineage: Eukaryota; Metazoa; Chordata; Aves; Passeriformes; Passerellidae
Description: lncRNA (ENSJHYG00000009586.1)
Source: RNAcentral